AACAGUCCUUGGAUGGGGGAUGAAGUGAGGUUGUUUUCCCAGUUACAUGGAUAGUAACAGUCCUUGGAUGGGUGAUAAAGUGAGGUAGUUUUCCCAGUUACAUGGAUAGUAACAGUCCUUGGAUGGGUGAUAAAGUGAGGUAGUUUUCCCAGUUACAUGGAUAGUAACAGUCCUUGGAUAGGGGAUGAAGUGAGGUAGUUUUCCCAGUUACAUGGAUAGGAAAAGGCCUUUGAUGGGCGAUGAAGUGAGGUAGUUUUCCCAGAUACAUAGAUAGUAUCAGUCCUUGGAUGGGGGAUGAAGUGAGGUAGUUUUCCCAGUUACAUGGAUAGUAACAGUCCUUGGAUGGGAGAUGAAGUGAGGUAGUUUUCCCAGUUACAUGGAUAGUAACAGUCCUUGGAUGGGGGAUGAAGUGAGGUAGCUUUCCCAGUUACAUGGAUAGUAAGAGUCUUUGGAUGGGAGAUGAAGUGAGGUAGUUUUCCCAGUUACAUAGAUAGUAUCAGUCCUUGGAUGGGUGAUGAAGUGAGGUAGUUUUCCCAGUUACAUGGAUAGUAACAGUCCUUGGAUGGGGGAUGAAGUGAGGUAGUUUUCCCAGUUACAUGGAUAGUAACAGUCCUUGGAUUGGGGAUGAAGUGAGGUAGCUUUCCCAGUUACAUGGAUAGUAAGAGUCUUUGGAUGGGGGAUGAAGUGAGGUAGUUUUCCCAGUUACAUGGAUAGUAUCAGUCCUUGGAUGGGUGAUAAAGUGAGGUAGUUUUCCCAGUUACAUGGAUAGUAACAGUCCUUGGAUGGGGGAUGAAGUGAGGUAGUUUUCCAGUUACAUGGAUAGUAACAGUCCUUGGAUGGGGGAUGAAGUGAGGUUGUUUUUCCAGUUACAUGGAUAGUAACAGUCUUUGGAUGGGAGAUGAAGUGAGGUAGUUUUCCCGGUUACAUGGAUAGGAAAAGGCCUUUGAUGGGGGAUGAA
Molecule: long non-coding RNA, 958 nt
Organism: Dreissena polymorpha
Lineage: Eukaryota; Metazoa; Mollusca; Bivalvia; Myida; Dreissenidae
Exons: 3
Source: RefSeq, a predicted model, not a curated record